This 500-nucleotide ribosomal RNA is filed under the name uncultured bacterium. RNAcentral describes it as "bacterial SSU rRNA". It matches the Rfam family "Bacterial small subunit ribosomal RNA", at positions 9 to 526 of the family's 1533-position model. The record is from RNAcentral.
GAGUUUGAUCAUGGCUCAGGACGAACGCUGGCGGCGUGCCUAACACAUGCAAGUCGAGCGAGGAAGCCCCUUCGGGGGUGGAAUAGCGGCGGACGGGUGAGUAACACGUGGGUAACCUGCCUCAAAGAGGGGGAUAGCCUCCCGAAAGGGAGAUUAAUACCGCAUAGAAGGUAAAAAUCGCAUGAUAAAUACCUUAAAGGAGCAAUCCGCUUUGAGAUGGGCCCGCGUCGCAUUAGCUAGUUGGAGGGAUAAAAGCCCCCCAAGGCGACGAUGCGUAGCCGACCUGAGAGGGCGAACGGCCACAUUGGAACUGAGAUACGGUCCAGACUCCUACGGGAGGCAGCAGUGGGGAAUAUUGCACAAUGGGGGAAACCCUGAUGCAGCAACGCCGCGUGAGUGAAGAAGGUUUUCGGAUCGUAAAGCUCUGUCAUCCGGGACGAUAAUGACGGUACCGGAAGAGGAAGCCACGGCUAACUACGUGCCAGCAGCCGCGGUAAUAC